AUGUGCAAAUACUGAACACUAAUAACAUUUCAUUUGCAUCUGUCUUCAUUGUUUUUGUGCGAUGUUACAUGAAACGAAAAGAUGAUUUUCAGCUCUAAACUCAAAAACAAGUAGCUUGGACAAUCUAUUAGUUAAACAACUUUUUGGUGAUGAUUUGAUGAUUAGGAGCAAGGGAUUACUGAUACAGAAUGAGAACACUUGCGACUUCGUGUCCAGAGCCAGAACGACCCAAAGUUGAAUAUUGGACCUUUCAAAAUUUCUUAGGCGAUUGGAAGGUUUUAGGUCGAAGCGAAGAAACUAUUCCAAAAACUGUUUACAAUACCAUUGAAAUUUUCCACCUUUAUCCUGGAAAAGUUGCCUUUGUCGAGAAGGGUACUAAUUGAGACAGAGAUGUAAGAUCACAAUGGGACAUGGGUAAAUCAUUUUAUGAUCGACAUGAAAAUAAAUACGAUUCUUAUUCAUUCAACUUCACAACCUCGGAUGGUCAUCCAGGACAAUUUGGAUGCCUUAUUAUGGUCGUCCCAAGUAUGCUGAAGCCGUCUUAGCAAGUUGUGUUAAAAUUGAUGAAUCAACUGUUGACGUCAAAGCAUGGUUCGUUUCAAUGGCUACAGCAACUUCAGCAUCAGAUGAAGUUAAAAGUCUUAUUAAAUCGUUGACUGGACAAGAGUACCGCACCUUCUGUUGGGGAAACUUCUGUUAAUUCAAUCGUACAGAAUACAGAAUGAAAUUCAGCAAUUAAACUCUUCACAUAUUCAUUGUAAAACUACUUGAAUAAGAUAUUAAAUCAU
Tetranychus urticae (two-spotted spider mite) is the source of this 788-nucleotide long non-coding RNA. RefSeq lists it as uncharacterized. The record is from RefSeq and is a predicted model, not a curated record. NCBI's taxonomy places the organism in Eukaryota, Metazoa, Arthropoda, Arachnida, Trombidiformes, Tetranychidae.